Molecule: long non-coding RNA, 503 nt
Organism: Ailuropoda melanoleuca (giant panda)
Lineage: Eukaryota; Metazoa; Chordata; Mammalia; Carnivora; Ursidae
Exons: 4
Source: RefSeq, a predicted model, not a curated record
CACCGCGCUCGUCCGCCCACCUUCCCCGCCACCCACGGCCGGCGCGUCCGCGCAGGGUUAACCUGCACAGCCCAAACUGGAAAUAUCAGAUGUCGUUCAGCUGGCAAAUGGUUAAACAAACUACGUCCCAUCACAACCAUGGAAUAGGACUCAGCAACAACAAGGAAUGAACUACUGAUACAUACAACCAUUUGCAUGAAUAUCCAGGGAAUUAGGCUGAAUGAAAAGCCAAUCCCCAAAAGGCUUCUGCAGCUGGUCUGGGAGCAGGAGGCUGGAGUUGAACUUGAUCGACAGAAAGCCGGAAAACCAUGGAGCCAUUACCAGUGUGACUUGCUGGUUGGUGAGAAAUGCUAAAUUAUUAAGGCGUCCUCUGUGCGGAAGAGGAGGUAGGACGGGCGUCCACCAGCGCCAGGAAAGGAGCGGUCUGUUCUGCUACUCGCUCUGCUCUCGGACCAGCUUUGACCCCUCCUCUGCGCGGACCACUUCCAAGCCUCAGUCCCAAG